This 423-nucleotide ribosomal RNA is filed under the name uncultured bacterium. RNAcentral describes it as "partial 16S ribosomal RNA". It matches the Rfam family "Bacterial small subunit ribosomal RNA", at positions 359 to 774 of the family's 1533-position model. The record is from RNAcentral.
GAAUAUUGGACAAUGGGCGAAAGCCUGAUCCAGCCAUGCCGCGUGGGUGAAGAAGGUCUUCGGGUUGUAAAGCCCUUUUGUUGGGGAAGAAAUCCUGCUGGCUAAUACCCGGCGGGGAUGACGGUACCCAAAGAAUAAUCCCGGGCUAACUUCGUGCCAGCAGCCGCGGUAAUACGAAGGGUGCAAGCGUCAAUCGUGAUUACUGGGCGUAAAGCGGGCUUAGGUGGUGGCUUAAGUCCGUUGUGAAAGCCCUGGGCUCAACCUGGGAAUUGCAGUGGAUACUGGGUCACUAGAGUGUGGUAGAGGGUGGCGGAAUUCCCGGUGUAGCAGUGAAAUGCGUAGAGAUCGGGAGGAACACCCGUGGCGAAGGCGGCCACCUGGGCCAACACUGACACUGAGGCACGAAAGCGUGGGGAGCAAACA